Molecule: long non-coding RNA, 379 nt
Organism: Stylophora pistillata
Lineage: Eukaryota; Metazoa; Cnidaria; Anthozoa; Scleractinia; Pocilloporidae
Source: RefSeq, a predicted model, not a curated record
ACAAGGCAAGCAAAACGCAACAACACAACAACAAGGCAAGGUAAGGUGAAGUGACCCAAUAAUUGGUACUAUUAAAGACAGAAUGGAUGGCUGUGAUAUUUACUGUGGCUAGCUGUUAUUCAAGAGUUUGUCAUUAUUCCCAGAAGCUUACUUCUUGUUUAACUUAUCAGUCUUUUGUUCACUGUACACAUCUUGCCUAGACUAAUAUGCUAUAUAGGAGUUAUGUCUGCUCUAUUUGUAACAGUAAAAUUACAGUUAAAUUUUUGAGAAGUUUUGUCCAGAUUUCAUUGAAAAUGAAUGGGAGGAAUGGUCAGUUAUACUCCUUAAGAGUGUUUAAGCUUCCGAGAUGAGAGCUAAUAAAUUUCUUGAGUGAUUCAUA